UGGGGCGAUCGAUGGCUCGAGUCGUGGCGAUUG
This 33-nucleotide non-coding RNA is filed under the name Alexandrium minutum. The record is from RNAcentral. Lineage: Eukaryota; Dinophyceae; Gonyaulacales; Pyrocystaceae.